RNAcentral lists this ribosomal RNA (465 nucleotides) under uncultured bacterium. Its description in RNAcentral is "partial 16S ribosomal RNA". It matches the Rfam family "Bacterial small subunit ribosomal RNA", at positions 28 to 507 of the family's 1533-position model. The record is from RNAcentral.
GACGAACGCUGGCGGCGUGCUUAACACAUGCAAGUCGAACGGAAAGGCCCUGCUUGCAGGGUAUUCGAGUGGCGAACGGGUGAGUAACACGUGGGUGAUCUGCCCUGCACUUCGGGAUAAGCCUGGGAAACUGGGUCUAAUACCGGAUAGGAGCCAUUUUUAGUGUGAUGGUUGGAAAGUUUUUUCGGUGUAGGAUGAGCUCGCGGCCUAUCAGCUUGUUGGUGGGGUAAUGGCCUACCAAGGCGGCGACGGGUAGCCGGCCUGAGAGGGUGGACGGCCACAUUGGGACUGGGAUACGGCCCAGACUCCUACGGGAGGCAGCAGUGGGGAAUAUUGCACAAUGGGCGCAAGCCUGAUGCGGCGACGCCGCGUGGGGGAUGACGGCCUUCGGGUUGUAAACUCCUUUCGCUAGGGACGAAGCUUUUUGUGACGGUACCUAGAUAAGAAGCACCGGCUAACUACGUG